This 253-nucleotide ribosomal RNA is filed under the name uncultured bacterium. Its description in RNAcentral is "partial 16S ribosomal RNA". It matches the Rfam family "Bacterial small subunit ribosomal RNA", at positions 524 to 776 of the family's 1533-position model. The record is from RNAcentral.
UACGUAGGGGGCAAGCGUUGUCCGGAAUCAUUGGGCGUAAAGAGCGUGUAGGCGGCUCGGUAAGUCCGUUCUGAAAGCCCAGGGCUCAACCCUGGGAUGCGGAUGGAUACUGUCGGGCUCGAGUCCGGAAGAGGCGAGUGGAAUUCCCGGUGUAGCGGUGAAAUGCGCAGAUAUCGGGAGGAACACCAAUGGCGAAGGCAGCUCGCUGGGACGUGACUGACGCUGAGACGCGAAAGCGUGGGGAGCAAACAGG